RNAcentral lists this unclassified non-coding RNA (424 nucleotides) under Hevea brasiliensis (rubber tree). Lineage: Eukaryota; Viridiplantae; Streptophyta; Magnoliopsida; Malpighiales; Euphorbiaceae. The record is from RNAcentral.
CAGAGGUUACUGCAAUAAGGGAGGCAUGUAAAAAACUUGGUAAGAUUGAGCUUUCUGACUGUGAAUUGUAUGCCUCUUGUGAGCCAUGCCCAAUGUGCUUCGGUGCUGUCCACCUUUCAAGAAUUAAGAGGUUGGUUNNNNNNNNNNNNGGCUGAAGCAGCUAUUGCCAUUGGCUUUGAUGAUUUUAUUGCGGAUGCAUUGCGAGGUACUGCCCACUAUCAAAAGGCUAAUUUGGAGAUUAUAAGGGCAGAUGGUAAUGGGGCCAUUAUUGCCGAACAGGUCUUUGAGAAAACAAAGGAAAAAUUUCGGAUGUAUUGAUCUUUUUAGUCACCUCUUUCAUUGGACGGUACUGACUUUGCUUCCAUUCUGAACUGUAAGCAUCUUUUUAAUGCGAUCAUUUAAUAAUGACCUGCACUUUAUCCAA